Molecule: ribosomal RNA, 533 nt
Filed under: Candida tropicalis
Lineage: Eukaryota; Fungi; Ascomycota; Pichiomycetes; Serinales; Debaryomycetaceae
Description: eukaryotic LSU rRNA
Rfam family: Eukaryotic large subunit ribosomal RNA
Source: RNAcentral
GAGGAAAAGAAACCAACAGGGAUUGCCUUAGUAGCGGCGAGUGAAGCGGCAAAAGCUCAAAUUUGAAAUCUGGCUCUUUCAGAGUCCGAGUUGUAAUUUGAAGAAGGUAUCUUUGGGUCUGGCUCUUGUCUAUGUUUCUUGGAACAGAACGUCACAGAGGGUGAGAAUCCCGUGCGAUGAGAUGAUCCAGGCCUAUGUAAAGUUCCUUCGAAGAGUCGAGUUGUUUGGGAAUGCAGCUCUAAGUGGGUGGUAAAUUCCAUCUAAAGCUAAAUAUUGGCGAGAGACCGAUAGCGAACAAGUACAGUGAUGGAAAGAUGAAAAGAACUUUGAAAAGAGAGUGAAAAAGUACGUGAAAUUGUUGAAAGGGAAGGGCUUGAGAUCAGACUUGGUAUUUUGUAUGUUACUUCUUCGGGGGUGGCCUCUAGUUUAUCGGGCCAGCAUCAGUUUGGGCGGUAGGAGAAUUGCGUUGGAAUGUGGCACGGCCUCGGUUGUGUGUUAUAGCCUUCGUCGAUACUGCCAGCCUAGACUGAGGA